GUAGUCGUGGCCGAGUGGUUAAGGCAAUGGAUUAAAAAUCUAUUGGGGUUUCCCUGCGCAGGUUUGUAUCCUGCUGACUAUG
Rhincodon typus (whale shark) is the source of this 82-nucleotide non-coding RNA. NCBI's taxonomy places the organism in Eukaryota, Metazoa, Chordata, Chondrichthyes, Orectolobiformes, Rhincodontidae. The record is from the annotation of a RefSeq genome assembly.